GGCAGGCUUAACCAUGCAAGUCGAGGGGUAUAGUAGCAAUACUAGAGACCGGCGCACGGGUGCGUAACGCGUAUGCAAUCUACCUGGCACAGAGGGAUAGCCCAGAGAUAUCUGGAUUAAUACCUCAUAGUAUGAUAGAGUGGCAUCACUUGAUAAUGAUAGUUACAACGGUGAAAGAUGAGCAUGCGUCCCAUUAGUGAGUGGGUAAGGUAACGGCGCACCAAGACUACGAUGGGUAGGGGUGCUGAGAGGGAGAUCCCCCACACUGGUACUGAGACACGGACCAGACUCCUGACGGGAGGCGGCAGUGAGGAAUAUCGGACGAUGGGCGCAAGCCUGAUCCAGCCAUGCCGCGUGCAGGAUGACGGUCCUGAUGGAUGGUAAACUGCUGGUGCACAGGAGGAAACCACUUCACGUGUACUGUCUCGACGGUACUGUGAGAAUAUGGAUCGGCUCACUCCGCGCCAGCAGCCGCGGUAUUACGGAGGAUCCACGCAUCAUCCGGAAUCAUUGGG
This 515-nucleotide ribosomal RNA is filed under the name uncultured bacterium. RNAcentral describes it as "bacterial SSU rRNA". It matches the Rfam family "Bacterial small subunit ribosomal RNA", at positions 41 to 558 of the family's 1533-position model. The record is from RNAcentral.